CCCUUAGAUGUUCUGGGCUGCACGCGCGCUACACUGAUGCGUUCAACGAGUUACUUCCUUCCUCGACAGGGGUGGGUAAUCUUGUGAACACGCAUCGUGAUGGGGAUAGAUUAUUGCAAUUAUUAAUCUUCAACGAGGAAUUCCUAGUAAGUGCGAGUCAUCAGCUCGUGCUGAUUACGUCCCUGCCCUUUGUACACACCGCCCGUCGCUCCUACCGAUUGAGUGGUCCGGUGAGGCUUUGGGAUCUGAGCGGAAAGAGCGUUUCGCUGUUUCUGCUCGGAAAACUCAGUCGAACCUUAUCAUUUAGAGGAAGGAGAAGUCGUAACA
RNAcentral lists this ribosomal RNA (327 nucleotides) under uncultured eukaryote. Its description in RNAcentral is "partial 18S ribosomal RNA". It matches the Rfam family "Eukaryotic small subunit ribosomal RNA", at positions 1470 to 1796 of the family's 1831-position model. The record is from RNAcentral.